This 309-nucleotide ribosomal RNA is filed under the name uncultured bacterium. Its description in RNAcentral is "partial 16S ribosomal RNA". It matches the Rfam family "Bacterial small subunit ribosomal RNA", at positions 504 to 808 of the family's 1533-position model. The record is from RNAcentral.
AGAGACAGCAGCAGCCGCGGGAAUACGGAGGGUGCAAGCGUUAAUCGGAAUUACUGGGCGUAAAGCGCACGCAGGCGGUCUGACAAGUCAGAUGUGAAAUCCCCGGGCUUAACCUGGGAACUGCAUUUGAAACUGUCAGGCUGGAGUCUUGUAGAGGGGGGUGGAAUUCCAGGUGUAGCGGUGAAAUGCGUAGAGAUCUGGAGGAAUACCGGUGGCGAAGGCGGCCCCCUGGACAAAGACUGACGCUCAGGUGCGAAAGCGUGGGGAGCAAACAGGAUUAGAACCCCGGUAGUCCCUGUCUCUUAUACA